AGGCAAAACACAUGCAAGUCGAGCGGUAGAGAGAAGCUUGCUUCUCUUGAGAGCGGCGGACGGGUGAGUAAUGCCUAGGAAUCUGCCUGGUAGUGGGGGAUAACGUUCGGAAACGGACGCUAAUACCGCAUACGUCCUACGGGAGAAAGCAGGGGACCUUCGGGCCUUGCGCUAUCAGAUGAGCCUAGGUCGGAUUAGCUAGUUGGUGAGGUAAUGGCUCACCAAGGCGACGAUCCGUAACUGGUCUGAGAGGAUGAUCAGUCACACUGGAACUGAGACACGGUCCAG
Molecule: ribosomal RNA, 288 nt
Filed under: Pseudomonas sp. FC18
Lineage: Bacteria; Pseudomonadati; Pseudomonadota; Gammaproteobacteria; Pseudomonadales; Pseudomonadaceae
Description: partial 16S ribosomal RNA
Rfam family: Bacterial small subunit ribosomal RNA
Source: RNAcentral